RNAcentral lists this ribosomal RNA (497 nucleotides) under uncultured bacterium. RNAcentral's name for it is "partial 16S ribosomal RNA". It matches the Rfam family "Bacterial small subunit ribosomal RNA", at positions 28 to 507 of the family's 1533-position model. The record is from RNAcentral.
GACGAACGCUGGCGGCAUGCCUAAUACAUGCCAGUCGAACGCUGAAGCACCCUGCUUGCAGAGUGCGGAUGAGUGGCGAACGGGUGAGUAACACGUGGGGAAUCUGCCUAUAAGUGGGGGAUAACAUUCGGAAACGGAUGCUAAUACCGCAUAUAUUCUUGGACCGCCUGGUCCUUGAAAGAAAGACGGCUUUGCUGUCGCUUAUAGAUGAUCCCGCGGCGUAUUAGUUAGUUGGUGGGGUAAAGGCCUACCAAGACAAUGAUACGUAGCCGACCUGAGAGGGUGAUCGGCCACACUGGGACUGAGACACGGCCCAGACUCCUACGGGAGGCAGCAGUAGGGAAUCUUCCACAAUGGGCGAAAGCCUGAUGGAGCAAUGCCGCGUGAAUGAAGAAGGUCUUCGGAUCGUAAAGUUCUGUUAUUAGAGAAGAACAAGUCAAGGAAUAACUGUCUUGACUUUGACGGUACCUAACCAGAAAGUCACGGCUAACUACGUG